UAUGUAGGAGAUGAUGAAGACUGUGAUGACCUGAUAGAUGCAUUUAAAGUAGAUACCAUUAUUCCUGACCCAUAUGAUGAUUUCUACAAGAAUAUACCAGCAAGUACUCACACGCUGGCACCUAAACCUGAUUGCAAGCAUUAUGGUGCAAAGAGGUUCCAGUAUGAGUCAAAUGGAUUUUGUUGCCGGUCUGGAAAAGUUAAGUUAGCACACUUAGAACCACCCUUGGAACUUAAAAUGUUAUACACAAGUUCAGAUCCCGAUGCCGUGCAUUUUAGGGAUAACAUUCGAUACUUCAAUGGACACUUUUCAUUCAACACCCUUGGAGUCAGCCUGGACAACAGAUACACAAACAUGAAGUCAGGAGUCUAUACGUUUCGAGAUCACGGUCAAUUUUAC
RNAcentral lists this ribosomal RNA (399 nucleotides) under Triticum aestivum (bread wheat). RNAcentral's name for it is "partial small subunit ribosomal RNA". Lineage: Eukaryota; Viridiplantae; Streptophyta; Magnoliopsida; Poales; Poaceae. The record is from RNAcentral.